This 228-nucleotide microRNA precursor is filed under the name Glycine max (soybean). RNAcentral's name for it is "miR9758 stem-loop (gma-MIR9758)". Lineage: Eukaryota; Viridiplantae; Streptophyta; Magnoliopsida; Fabales; Fabaceae. The record is from miRBase by way of RNAcentral.
UAAGCACACCCUAUUUACAGAUCAUAUGUUUAGUCAUGCAAGUUUAGUAGUAUACUAGCGUACCCAUACUAGCAUACCCCAGUAUCGAGGCAAGGAUACGGAUAAGGCUACAUACAAUUACCCUUUUCCAUACCUUUGCUUAGCGAGGAGCUUCCGGACACUGCAAUACGUGAGUAUGCUAAUAAACUUGUAUGACUAAACAUAUGAUCUGUAAAUAGGGUGUGCUUA